Molecule: long non-coding RNA, 278 nt
Filed under: Daucus carota (carrot)
Lineage: Eukaryota; Viridiplantae; Streptophyta; Magnoliopsida; Apiales; Apiaceae
Description: long non-coding RNA (DCAR_LNC007324)
Source: RNAcentral
ACAACCACUACACCUAGCACCCGCUAAGUUGUAGUCAAGGAUUUCUUCAUUUUCAUUAUGAAGUGGAAUGCUGGUAGAAUCAUUUCUUAAAAUGGCAUGAGGGCUGAGGCCAUUGAUUUUAUUCUGCUCAGCCUUACCAUUAUGGACCAACAAAUCUCCCGAUAUUCUUUUAAUUUCUAUUUCUAUGCUUUUAAUAUUUUUGGUUUGUUCCUCAGGUCAUAUUAUUUCAUACUCAUAAACUCUGUUAAUCCAUGACUCAGUCAGAAGUGCAUGCAAAG